This is a long non-coding RNA of Triticum aestivum (bread wheat), 571 nucleotides long. RefSeq lists it as uncharacterized. The transcript is spliced from 4 exons. Lineage: Eukaryota; Viridiplantae; Streptophyta; Magnoliopsida; Poales; Poaceae. The record is from RefSeq and is a predicted model, not a curated record.
CUGCUCCCGUCUCCAGUCCCUUGCCAUUAGAGCACAGACGCCACUGCUCCCGCCUCCAGUCCUGACAGGUGACAACCGACGCCCUCAUCUCCUCCAGCACUGGUUGUCCCUGUUUCCAGUGCCGAUCCUGGCCUCGUGGUUUGCUUGGUGUGUGGACAGGGCCAAAGGACAAGAUGCUUCAAUCCGGCGAGGACAGAGCCAAAUGACCAAAGUUUGUUCAUCUGUUGCCAAGUUUGGUACCAUCCCGUGGGGAGGGCCAGGGACAAGCUGCUCCGAUCCGGCGAGGAUGCCGACCAUCUAUUGUUAAGGGCGUCCAUGGAAGGCCCAGUCCUGACUCUCCAGUGAGCCGGCAUUUGAUCGCUAUUGAAGGAGCUACAUGUAGAACAAGAAAAUACUUGUAGAGCUUGUAACUGAUUCCCAUAGUUGUAGAGCUUGUAUCAGCUAAGCUUGUAUUACGUGUAACUUGUAGAACUUGUAAAUGCUACAGCUUGUAGGACUUGUCAUUUGUAGAGCUUGUAAAUAAGCUUGUGUAUGCUACAGCUUGUAGGACGUGUCAUUUGUAGAGCUUGUA